Molecule: transfer RNA, 87 nt
Filed under: Palleronia abyssalis
Lineage: Bacteria; Pseudomonadati; Pseudomonadota; Alphaproteobacteria; Rhodobacterales; Roseobacteraceae
Description: tRNA-Ser
Source: RNAcentral
GCCGCGGGAUAGCGGAUGGACGGGUGCAGCGCGGGGUCGAAGCGCGCCAGCACACGGACGCGCGGUUCAGCCGCCGCGUCCGUGGCA